Molecule: ribosomal RNA, 531 nt
Filed under: uncultured bacterium
Lineage: Bacteria
Description: bacterial SSU rRNA
Rfam family: Bacterial small subunit ribosomal RNA
Source: RNAcentral
ACUCAAUAGAUACCCGGGUAGUCCACGCCCUAAACGAUGCAUGCUUGGUGCUGGUGAUUCAGUUCAUCGGUGCCGGAGCUAACGCGUUAAGCAUGCCGCCUGGGGAGUACAGUCGCAAGGCUGAAACUCAAAGGAAUUGACGGGGGCCCGCACAAGCGGUGGAGCAUGUGGUUCAAUUCGACGCAACGCGAAGAACCUUACCUGGGCUCGAACGGCCGGUCAACGGGAGCGGAAACGUUUCUACCCCGCAAGGGGGUCCGGUCGAGGUGCUGCAUGGCUGUCGUCAGCUCGUGUCGUGAGAUGUUGGGUUAAGUCCCGCAACGAGCGCAACCCUUGUCCUGUGUUGCCACUCCGCAAGGAAGCACUCGCAGGAGACCGCCAGCGAUAAGUUGGAGGAAGGUGGGGAUGACGUCAAGUCCUCAUGGCCUUUAUGUCCAGGGCUACACACGUGCUACAAUGGCCGGUACAAAGCGCUGCAAACCCGCGAGGGGGAGCCAAUCGCAGAAAACCGGUCUCAGUUCGGAUUGCAGG